GUUUGAUCCUGGCUCAGGACGAACGCUGGCGGCGUGCCUAACACAUGCAAGUCGAGCGAAUGAAGUUCCUUCGGGAACGGAUUUAGCGGCGGACGGGUGAGUAACACGUGGGCAACCUGCCUCAUAGAGGGGAAUAGCCUUCCGAAAGGGAGAUUAAUACCGCAUAAGAUUGUAGUACCGCAUGGUACAGCAAUUAAAGGAGCAAUCCGCUAUGAGAUGGGCCCGCGGCGCAUUAGCUAGUUGGUGAGGUAACGGCUCACCAAGGCGACGAUGCGUAGCCGACCUGAGAGGGUGAUCGGCCACAUUGGGACUGAGACACGGCCCAGACUCCUACGGGAGGCAGCAGUGGGGAAUAUUGCACAAUGGGGGAAACCCUGAUGCAGCAACGCCGCGUGAGUGAUGACGGCCUUCGGGUUGUAAAGCUCUGUCUUCAGGGACGAUAAUGACGGUACCUGAGGAGGAAGCCACGGCUAACUACGUGCCAGCAGCCGCGGUAAUACGUAGGUGGCGAGCGUUGUCCGGAUUUACUGGGCGUAAAGGGAGCGUAGGCGGAUUUUUAAGUGAGAUGUGAAAUACUCGGGCUUAACCUGAGUGCUGCAUUUCAAACUGGAAGUCUAGAGUGCAGGAGAGGAGAAGGGAAUUCCUAGUGUAGCGGUGAAAUGCGUAGAGAUUAGGAAGAACACCAGUGGCGAAGGCGCUUCUCUGGACUGUAACUGACGCUGAGGCUCGAAAGCGUGGGGAGCAAACAGGAUUAGAUACCCUGGUAGUCCACGCCGUAAACGAUGGAUACUAGGUGUGGGAGGUAUUGACCCCUUCCGUGCCG
This 823-nucleotide ribosomal RNA is filed under the name uncultured bacterium. Its description in RNAcentral is "bacterial SSU rRNA". It matches the Rfam family "Bacterial small subunit ribosomal RNA", at positions 11 to 848 of the family's 1533-position model. The record is from RNAcentral.